GCCAGUGGUCAAAGCCUCCAACAAAGCUCUACUGAGUGGCUGUAACCUCUCAGAGAGAAGCUGUGAUGCUCUGUCCUCAGUUCUCAACUCCCAAUCCUCUAGUCUGAAAGAGCUGGACCUGAGUAACAAUGACCUGUGGGAUUCAGGGGUGAAGCUUCUGUCUGCUGCACUGCAGAGUCCACAUUGUACACUGGAAACUCUCAGAUUGAAGGACUGUGAUUUGUCAGAGAUCAGCUGUGAUUAUCUGGCAGCAGCGCUGAAGUCCAACCCCUCGUAUCCCAGAGUGCUGGACCUGAGUGGAACCU
This is a non-coding RNA of Maylandia zebra (zebra mbuna), 305 nucleotides long. The record is from RefSeq and is a predicted model, not a curated record. NCBI's taxonomy places the organism in Eukaryota, Metazoa, Chordata, Actinopteri, Cichliformes, Cichlidae.